UUCAAUCAAUCAAAGAGUUCUCGUCAUUCAAUCAAAGUGUGUUCUAGACAGAUAACCUCAUAAGAGAAAGAAAUCUCUUUCUUGGUUUCCUUCCUUCGAUUCCAAGUCUUUUUGGUGUGUUUCUAUACAAGCAAAGUUGUUCUUCCUGGCUGCCUAAAAAAUUCCGAUAGCCCCCCACUGUACAGAGAUCUUCCCGUCCCUCCCUAUUUACACGAGACGAUCGAUCGAGGAGAAGAAUAAAGGGGAAAAGUCGCCGGGAUCAAAACACCCACGCGCCCUCCCACCCCGACUUGUACUCCUCCAAAUCCUCCUCGUCGUCGCUGUAGUAGUAGCGAUCGUCCACCGGGGCGGCCACGGCGCUCCCGUCCAUGAUCUUCUGGAGGAGCUCGUACGCCGCGUUGAUCUCCUGGAACUUGGGCGCGCAGUGAUCGCCCUUGCAAACAUCCGGAUGAUACUGGAGCGCGAGCCUCCGGUAGGCGCGCUUGAGAUCCUGCUUGGAAUCGCCCGGCCGGAUGCCCAGCAUCGAGUAGGACUCGCAGGGCGCCACCGGCGAUGAUCCAUACCUCGCGCUCGCCGCCGCCGACGCGCGCAGCCGCAAAUUCGACCGCCCAUUCCUCCAUCCCUGCCGGGGCUGCUGCUGCUGCGGGGUUUGGAUCGUCCGAGAGACAUCCAUCCCCGAGAAUUGGGAAGAACCCACCGCCGCCGUCGCCAUUCGCCUUGCCCUCUUCCUUCUCACGAAUUCGCUCCCUUCGCUUUCCCUCUCUCGAUCAACACAACGCAAGGAAAUCGUUGCCCUAGAAAGGCAUCACUCCUCUCGUGCUUAUAUACUCUGCCAAGAAAAAGGGGCGAAAAGGGUUUGAGUUUACCCAAACGCCCACAAAUUGGGGUAAAACUGGAUAAGCUCAAAGGCAUAUUCCUGUGGAUAAGCCGAUGCCGCUAAAAUUAGGGGGAUUCUCGUAACGCGGGCCAACGUUUAUUAGUUAAAGAUAGCAGAGAAAUGAAUUCCGGCCAUAUAUGUGGCGACACGUGCGCGUACUGUAGCGUAGUCUCGACACGUUAGUGACGUAGCUAUUUGUAUCGUACGCUGGCGGCACGCUACGUGGAAAUGGUCCCGCCUUGCGUGGAUGUUACUCUUAUCCAGUGACCACCAAUCAAUCGUUUGAGUUAAUAUUAGUCUUGAUCAAACUUAACUAUAUAAUCCAUGAGCUUAAAGAUACCUUUAGAAGGUUAAAAAAUCUUGAGUUCUUCCUGAGCUAACGUUUACCUUUAGAAGAUUCGAAAAUCUCAUCAAAACUUUGCGUGAUAAUCACGUCAAGUGUCAUCUUCCAUUUGUUUAGCAUGACAAACUUCUCUAUAGAAGAUACCUAGUAUAUCCUGCAAAUGCCGGGCUUCGUCGUCUUCGUGAUCGUAGCCUGCCCGUUAGUCGUCAACUUCGAAAGCUUGGAUUUCUUCCUCCUCGAUGAAAUCCAUCCCGACGCAAGCUUGUCGAAAUCCAGCACCAGCUGCGCGAUUGCCAGGAGCAGCGCCAGGAGCAUCGACUGCCCGACGCUGCUGCUCUCGGAGGACAUGAGCGUCGCGGUGGAAGACGCCGAGGACGAGGCGAGCGGAUUGAGCUGGACUGGAAACUCGCAUCCCCCGGUGGAUGGAUUCGCGGUGGUGAUCAUCCCCAGGCCGUCAAAGACGCAGCUCUCCUCCUCCUGGUUGUUGAUCUGGUAGUAGCUGUUGAAAGCGUACGACGCGUUGCCUUGAUCGCCAAUGUGGUUGCAAGAGCCGCCAUAGACGAGCGCUGUGCAGUCACCGUGCGAGCAAGCGUAGUCGACGCUCUUGGCGAGCUUGGUCAUGUCGCCCUCGGGAUUGAGCACGCACCACCGCCACGGCAAGUACUGGACGUCGCUGGAAAAGUUGGCGAGGCCUGUUCCCAGCACGUCCAGCCCGUACUUUGCUCGGCCGUCGUAAGUGUAGAUCCCCCAGUGCCGCUCAAAGUUGCCGGGAAGGAUGCUCUUUUGAUCUUCGUCGAUGAGCGCGAAGAGGUAAACGUCGAGCUCCUGGUUGGGCCGGAGCGGCGUCCCCCUGCCGCUGGUGAUGUGCGCGAGAAGCCCCUGAUUGAAGCGCUGCGCGUUGGCUGGAUUCGCGUUCACGUCCCCGUCCGUCGGCCACCCGACCUCUCCAACGAUGAUCUUCAUGUCCGGGAAGCCGUUCCUGUUGAGCGCUGCGACCAGGAGAUCGUAGCUCGCGUCGAAGACGUUUGUGUAGGUGUUGCCGUUGAAGUCGUGGAUGGCGGCGGCGCCGGUGGUGCUGCCGUCGAAGAACGCGAACUCUUGCGGGAAGUGUGGAUCCUGGUGGAGGCUGAGGAACGGGUAUAUGUUGACGACGAAGGGAGCUUGGUGCUUGGCGAGAGUUGAGACGAGCGUGUCCAUGAGCGGCUGGAUGUCGGGCCGGAACAGUCCCGCCGAUGGUAAUGGGGAGCCGCCAUCGCUGAGAACGUCGGCGUUAAGAGGAACCACCGCCUUGAUCGGCUCCGCUGAGUUGAGCUUGUCCAGCGCUCCUUGGAUGUUUCUCAGCGCUGGGAGGGUGACGGAUUCGUAAGUUGCGUUGUAUGCCUUGAGAAAGGGCUCGUUCCCGACUGCCACAUAUCUGGAACGAAAGAAAAAAAAGAGCAACGAAGUUAGCAAGUUUUCAAUCGAUCCAUCGAUCGGUGAAGAGAGAAAAAAAAAACUAAAAUUUCACAUCCAUCACUCGUGUCUACGAUCAAACCGCGACCAUGCAGUAAGGAAACAUCAAAACCACGAAAAAAUAUAGAAACAAACCCCAGCAUGCAACGAAGAAGGAAAAAAAAGAAGAAAAAUAACCGCUACUUUGAUCUUGGAAGAAAAGACUACCUGAUUUUCACCUCGGGGAGAUGCUGGGUCACAUUCUCCUUGACCCAAUCCAGCGCCGCCCGGGGGCUGUUCGCGAUCUUGUCCAGCAUUUCGUUUGGAAUCCCGACCAUGAGCUCCACAUCGCUGUUGGCAAACAUACCGACGAUCUUCGAGUCGGCAUCGAAGAGCUUGAGCUUGGUGAUAUUGCUGGAGCUGAGCAUUCGCAGCACAACCUCGGCGGGGAGCCUGUGCGAUGCCAUAUUUCCCCAGUUCACCCCAAAUCCCACCGCCGACGACGAUCCAAGUCUCAUCGCCGUGACAAGCGUGAGCGCGAUCGAGAGCACCAGAGGAGAAAAAGGGGGGUACAAAGAGCAGCAAGCUCUUCUUGGCGCUGACCUCGAUCUCCCCGGCAUUUGAUCGCGCGGCCCCGGCCGGAUGAUCCUCCUCCUUUCUUGCUCCAAGAUCAAGAAGGCCGAUCCUCCCUGCCGCAUUCGAUCGCUCUCAAUCUCUUUCUUUCUUGCCCCAAAAGAACCAGAGCGCCAAAGCCUAAAAACUUUCCUCCAAUGUGAGCUCUUGCGCAAAGGAAAGGAAACGAAUGGUCCCUGUUAAGAAUGGAAUAAAGCAAAUUGUUCGUUAUUAGACAGGUUCGUUGGUUCCUGUCAUGGGACGAGGAUCAAAGUGACCUCCCGCGAAUCUACAUAGUAUAUUCUACGUGGAGCAUAUCCUCUUACAUGUUGACGCAUAUUCUCCAUACGAACAGACGGUCAAAAUUCUUCCCAGUUUUUCUUUAGCGCGGACUUCCUAGAGGACAAGGUUGAGGACGAAGACGAUCAAGCCUCGAAUGGCAUAAGCGCGGGCGUGAAACUCGCGAGCCUGGAAGAAACGAAAAAUCUUGAUGAUCUAUCGAUCGAUCGCAAAAAACUUUGGAAGCUUACCGAAGACGAGCGGGGCGGAGGACGACGCUUGGUGUUCGUGCCGAAAUCCGGGACUCGUCGAGGAUUCACGGACGCGUCCGGAUGGUGGCGAGCGCUCACCGGCGAGAGAAGUGGGGUGUCAUCUGGUGGACUGUCCAGCCAUGGCGAGCAAGAACUGUCGGAGUCAUGGGACGUGUCGUCGUCGUCAUCGUCGCUGGGAGCUGUGGCGCAACCAUUGUCAGCUGGACUUGAAUCGUCCGAGGGAGAUGCCGCGGCAGCUGCUGGGCUUCCGGCCGGAGGAAGAUGGAUCAAGGAUGACUGCUCCACCACUGUGAUCGCGAACUUCUGGCCCAGCUGGCAGUGUGAGUAGUAGUCCUUGCUGCAUCCGAAGUAGUAAGUUCCAGGCGCUGGAGCAGUCCACUAUCAACAACGAAAAAUCAGUUCCCGAUUGAUCAAUCACGUAUACUUAAGUCCUGCGACAAAAAGAACUCCAAAUCGAAAGAACUUACAGUAUACACGCCGGAAAGCCCUUCGUCGAGGAGCGUGCUCUCGGUGAAGUUGCAAUUCACGUACUCGCUAUGGUUCCGGAACAUGUGAAUGUUGUGGAGCUGUGGAAAAAACAGGAAGACUGCUAGAUCUUUUAGAAACUUCGUAUCGAUGAAUCGUUUUGUUGCGAGAGUUAAGUUCCACAUACCGAUGUCAUCCCCUGGGACGAGAGUGGUCUUGGAUGCCCAGGCAGCGUAGUCGGGAGUCUGGCCGCUAAAGAUGUUGAAUUGCGUCCAGCCGAUCUCGCCCCCUACCUUGAGCACUUGCUUGCUGGAGCAAGGCGGCAGCAGCGACCACAUGAGGAUAAUCCCCGGGAGGAAGAGCGCGUUCAUUGCGAUCGAACGACCUGGAAAUUCCCAAAGAUUAGCUCGAUAUUUCGAUAUUUCGCGAGAAAGAGAGGAUCUUCAUCCGGAGAGACAGAGCGAUCGAUCCGAGCACAAGGCGCCGAUGCUAUGGCGUUUCCCGGCCUCGAUCGGCAAGAUCGCGAAGAAAAGAGAGGAGAAAUCUCGCAUGCAAAGAAGAUUUCCAGCGCGCGGCGGAAGACGAUCGCAUUCCUAUCGCGAUCGAGAAUCCACACAGAGCUUGGAGAAUGCGGUGCGUACCAGGAAUCCAAGGAAGCCGCGCCGCUCCGCCAAGAGAAGGAAGACGAGAGUAAUGGAAAUGGCCAGAGGCGAGGGUUUUAGAAAUAAAAGAAACGGAUUACUCUUAAUCGACCAUCGCUAAUCGUUGUUAUGUUUGAAAUAAUACACAGUCAGCUUUUGGCGCGCAAGCACGUCAGCGAACAACCUGUGAAAAUAGGGUUCUUCCCUUCCAGCUAGGGCGCGCGCCCAUGAGCUCACUGGCGCACGGUCGACCGCCUUCAAAGUGCCUGUAGGUGAUGAUACUGUAAGCGCCGUUUAGAUAACUCUUCUCGAUUCUACGAUCUUGUCCAGGAUUCGACAUUCUUUGAUGAGCCUUCGCAGGAAGAGAUCGUUAUAGGAGGAAUGCGAGGACAAACUCCUUCGCCGGCGCGGUUUACACCGUCGCCGGCGCCAUCGCCAGUGCCUGGAUCGUCUGGAAGCUCCAAUGGGGAGUUCUCAAAUCAGCAGCGGGUACUCUUUGAAAAAAUUUCGCAAUGAAUGAUUCGUUUGAGUAUACGCAGCUUAAAGACGUCCACAAGAAAUAUCGGAUCAUCGAAGGAACUCGUCGCAUCUAUCAUGGCGAGAGCGAGGGGAUUCUCAGACGGCAAGAGGCCACGCUUGCGAAUAUCAGGACUGAUAAUCAGUCGUUGCGAGAGAAUGUCGAUAGUUACUUCAUACCAGUAAGUAUGCUUUCCUCGUUGGUUUAUCAAUCGUAUUUGCUCGUCUUUGCAGAACUAUGAGCUUCAAAUGGCUCAGCUCCACGAGGACGCAGCUAAGUUUGGCGAACUCGUUGAGCACGAAGCAAAGAGGCUCGAGGAGCUGGAACUUGCGGUUGAAAAAUCCAAAGCCGACAAACUGGAUUACAAAAAAACACAAGGAGGAGUACAUGCAGCUCGUGACAGGCAUCGCAAUGCUUUGAUCCAUAUACAGAUAACGGAGAACCGGAUUCACAAGGUAUCUAGUGACACCAUGGUAGUCUUACAUUAUUUUGGUUUCAGGUACUCGUUGAUCUGAAUAUUGUGGAAAGGCAAAAUAGGAAUCUGAAGAGAAAGAUGAAGGAAAUCAGGGAGGAGCGCGAACUUUUCGACGACAUUCGUUUGAAGCUCGAAAAGGAGCUUCAGUGGAAGGAGAAGGAGAUGGAGAAAUGCAUCGAGCUUAGCAGCUUGUUAUACGACGAGAGAAAUGACAUUGAGGAGCGUUUCACAGGUUUAUAACCCCGUUGAGUAUUUCACUUAUGUUGCAACUUCAGCCAUUGUCAAGUUUCUAAACUCACGCUCCUAACGUUUUGACCUUUCCAGAUGUCUUGGAGAUGCACGGAGACAUGGAGGCUUACAAAAUGUGGGAAGCUUCGAAGGGUUGGGCUGUCAUGGAACCAGAGCCUGUAGAAAACUUCUUGCACGUUCAACCGAGAUCGGUAUGGGAUUCAUGACUUAUGACUUGAAACUUAUGCAUUUCUGUCAUGUUCUACAGACGGAGGAACGUAAAGAGCCUAUGGAUUGCAGCGAGUAUUUUAGGCAGUGGAUUGAUGUGAAGUCGAUCUCAAACAUUCAAGACAUCUUGGGGAUUGAUAGUGUUUACGGGAUGGUACAAGCAGUCAAGGAGUUGCAGCAAAAGAAUGUUGCAAUUAUUGCCAGGAUGAACGAGCUUGUCAAUGUAAGUUGUCUUACAGUUCCUUUUGGGCAGAUUUGGGACAAUUCACAUUUUCAGGAAAUGGACACCAUCAAAGCCUUGCCUAAGCCUUUUGACUUAAAUAUCGAAAGUGCUCCAAUCGAUCCAGACGCAAAAAAGAAAGUUGACAUGGAGGCAAUAAUGGACAAGAUAUCUAGCCUUUUGAAAGAGCUAGAUUUUGAAGAUGAAGAGUACAUACUUAUUAUAAACGAGAUGAAAAAACGAGUUGGCAAAGUCUUCAGUGAAGCAGGUAUGUUUAUUCUUUCACUAGCAACGACUGACUUUACUUCCGCAAUUCCAGGUUGCGCUGUUGACGGAAACGCGCUGACAAAUGAGAAGGGUAAGGCCCGAUUAGAGGAGGCCUUGGGUCAGUGGUACAAUACUAUAGACAGUUUUGUCGACCAACUCAUAAAACAAGCGAAGGAGUCUGUACAGAAGAAGUAAACAUUCGAGGUAAUCUUAUGAUUCAAGAAUUAAAAUGAAUUGCUAGCAGAUUGUGUACAGUUUGAGAAUGCAAGAGGAGUUUCCAGCAGAGCUCAGUUACAAACGAGCUAGCUGCCGAACGUUUAUGGGCUCAACUACAGACUGAUCCCCUUCCAGGAUUCCUUUUCCAAGCACGUAAUUUGCGGCCUCCGAAGUAUGGUAUGGAUCCCAGAAAAAAUGUUCCGUCCUGUUGGAGCAAACAGAGACGGAAGGGAUGCAUGAGAUCAGACCUCUGUACGGGCCACCAGCGCCACAGCAGGCCGUGUCGCUGUUUGCAAAUCCUGCAAGGGGGAGGAACAUUCAGCUCAGAAGCUUCAAAACUUCACAAGCAUGGCGAAGCUCCUACCGUAUUUCCCCGGGUUUUUUAUGACGGUGGUGACGGUGUCAUAAGUGUUGACAUAGACGAACUUGGCAUCCGGAAACUGCCCGUUGAGAUCGAAAACAGUCUGCCUCAGCGCCUUGUUGAAGUUGAGAACCAGCUCGUUGGGUUGGGGAGCACAGGUACUGUUUCUUUGGAAGUUGACCGUGAGCUGAUAUGGAAUGCAGCCUAUUGGACCCGCUCCUGCGAUGAUGAACUUGCGGGCGUCCAGCUUGUACGCAUCCUGGCAAAGAAGCGGUGAGACCGAGAUGAGCGAGAACUCUCGAAAAAUCCAACAAGGAGGCAGAAGCUUCUUACAGUCAGGAGCUUUUUGUACGUGGAGACUAGGCGGACUUGGAACUGCUGGGGGGUGUACAUAAGAGGCGUGGCAGUGACAGGCGCAACGUAAUUGUUGAGGUAGUCAUUGGAGCCGAUGACAAAGCAGAAAAUAGACUUGGAGAGCAUCUGGUACGCCGCCUUUUGUCCGAGCAGGCCGAUGAUCUGGGACCGGGUGUUGCCGUAGUACUCAAUCUGCUUUCCAAGGGGCAGUCUCUGCAGCUGCGAAAGCCAGGCAAAGGACCAAACAGGUUGAGCAGCAAGAACGAUCGAAGAAAACUUACGAAGUAGAGCCCGGUCUCGUCGAGAACACCAGCUCCGCCGGACGCGUAGUUGACACCUUUGAGGAUGGCAGUCCCGUUGGUGCUUGGAUCCAGAUACGGCGGUGCUAGUGGAAGUCCAAGCUCCUGGGCUGUUGAGAAAGGAGACAAGGCAGCACAGGGUGGAAGUUAGGAGGAUGGUAGCGCUGACGAUACUAUUUAGUGCUACUCGGCGCUUACCAACAACGUCGGUCACGGUGAGGCCAUUGCAGAAGCGCCCGGUUGCAACGCUGCCCUGGAAGUCGAUGCCGUUGUGGGAGUGAUUGGCCUGGGAGAGCGACUGGAGGAACUUGUUAUUGCCAGAGUCGACCAGGGAAUCGCCAAAGACGAAGAAUGCUGGGACUUGAGGAGCUUCGGCUGCGCGGAUGGUCUCGAGGGACGCGAGAAACAAGAGAAGGAGCGAAGUGGAAAGGGCGGCGAGAGUGAUUGUCGCCUCCUCCAUGGCAGCGAAGUGGCGGGGCGGCGAGCUUCCACUCCUCUCCAGCACCGGCGUUUUACUUAUAUGUACAUUUGGAGCGGUGUAGAUUAAUUAGGUGAAGACUAGCGACUAACCGGAAACUAAGGGUAAAGAUUUAUUGAUUUAUUACCAAGGUAUUACUAUUUUCUCUAGAGAUAGGGCAUAAUUAUAACUUUAUAUCCUUUUAAAUUUGUCAUAUGAAAGUAGUGGGAUGCUAAAUUAAUUAAUUUGUCAAGUGGUAAAAAUUAUGAAGAGAGGAUUUGCAGUGCAUCAGAUAUAUAUAUAUAUAUACAUAUAUACAUACAUAUAUAUGUUUAUAUGUUUAAUUCAGAUUACUAUAUAUUAGUGAUAUUGUAGUUGAAAUCAAGAAUAAUAAUAUUAUUUCUAAACCAUGACCAAAAUAAUUUGAUACUUAUGGUGCAUAAUACAAACAUGAAAUUUCAGUAUAAAAACUCUUUUAUUGCUUCAAGUAUAAAUGAUAAACCUGAUUUAUUAAAGUAAUUACUUUAUAUAUUAUAUUUAGUUUUAUAAAUAUAUUAAUAUUUUAUUCUGUUAAGAAAGGCUAUAGUGUUAAUCCAUAAGGACAAUAGAUUUCAUACAUAAUUAAUUAUUAAUUAUUUUUAUUUUGUGUUGUAAUAUUUUAUUUCAAAUUGGUGUGAUAUCUCAAGUUGUUAUCUACUAAUAAUAUUAUUAGUUUCAUAAAAUCUAAAUUGCUAGAUAUUGCCAAUAUUAUUAACUCCAUUAUUUAAUUUUACUUAUAUAAAUAUGUUAAUUCUUCUUUUUUUUUGAGAUGAGAAAGGUUAUGAUUUUUUUUUUCAUAAACACAACUUUAGCACCACUCUAUUUAUAUAAGCUAAUUAUUUUUUUUAGUUUUCUUAAAAAGUAUUUUAUUUUUAAAAAAUAAUAUUUUUCAUUAUAAAAAAACAACUCUACCUUCUCAUGUUUAAAUUGUCAUCUAGGUUUUUCCUACAAACAAGUGGAAUAAAAGAUAUUGGGAUGAAUACUUCAUAAAACUUUAGCUCUACACUUGCAUGAUCCAUUAGUCAAAGUUUGUAAUCCAUGAUUGUUCAUUAUCAUUUGUGGCAUAUGUAAAACUUUAUUUAAGUCAAAGAAUUGACUUCUUUACUUUUAGUGUUACUCAUAGCAUUUAUAUAAUAGGGAUAUAAUCAUCUUAUAGUUAAUCACUUGAUGGAUAAUUAUAUUGUGAUUAUGAUUUAAAGAAAAAAUUAAUCACAUAAUUACAUAUUAGUUUUAUAUGUGCAUUAAUUGCCAAGUAUGAUUAUAAAAGAAGGCACUCUCAAGUUUCACACCCAUCUAUAUAUUUUCUAUAAACAUUUAUACUUAUAUAAAUAAAUAAAUGAAUAAAUAAAAAUUAUAAUGUAUCCACUUUUAUAGCUCAUUUUAAAUAAUUAAAGUGAAGAGCUUGAAAGAUAGUCUUCUAGAUUUUUUUUAAUAUAUAUAUAUAUAAUCCCAUGAAUAAAUAAUGUACCAUUUUUAUAUUUAUUGGUUAAAGGUUUUGAAAUACAUGAAGUAAACUAUUUUUUAGGUUUAAGUAGUGUUAGUCCACAAAGUUUAAAUACAACAGUUUACACUCUUUGAAUUCAUGAUGAUAAAAUGUUAGUAUUCUGAUAAUUAUCAUAUUAUUCUUUACUUUGGUGAUUAUCAUAAUUAAUGCACUAAAUGUUUUGUGAUACUGUAGUCUAUAAUUUCUAAAUAUAAUAGUAAAAAUCUUAAAAUAAAAUUUAUUAUAAUACACUUAUAUUUUGCUAUUAAUGUUGAAGGGCAUAAAUAUAUUAACUUAAAACCUAACUAUAUAUGUGUGUGUUUUAUAAUGUAUUUAAAUUAAAUUAUUGUAUGUUAGUGAUUUUGUAGCUCUAUGUGAUUUAAAUUGCUUUAAGUUAGGGACAUUGUCAUAUUCAUUUGCAAAACUUGAUACAUGAUCUAUAUCAAGGAAUGUUUUUUUUUUUAUUUUUUUAUAUAUAAAUUGAUUAUUAUUUUUCUUCAUUUGAGAAAAUCAAUAGUUUUUAUACAUCCAUAGUUAUUUAUUAAUCUUAACAUUUUUCAAGUAUAUUUUAUUUCUUAUUGAUAUGAAUUUCAAGGUUAUAAUAUACUUUCAGUUAAGAUCCAUGUUGUUGCAUGUUAGUAACAUUAUUAAACUUAUUACCUCUACUUGUUUCAUGAUUAUUUUUAGGUGAAUUUUUUUUUCUUUAUUUUACUCUUAUAAAUAUGUUGAUUGUUCAGCUAAUUUAGCUAAGAAAGACCAUAGCUUUUAUGCAUAAGCUUAAAAUUAACAUCACUUUAUCUAUAUGAGGUAAUUGCUAGAUUUUUCAGUUUAAGAUAUUUUAUUUUAAAAAACUUCUUCUUUAUUCUUAAAUUAAAAUUUGUUUUUGAAUGUUAUGUUAUUAACAAUCAUGAUAAAUGUAGCAAGCUGAUAUGGUUGAAUAUUGAAGGUAUAAAGAUUAGUAAUAGUGGUAGUGCUGAUGGCAUUGAAAAUAUAAAUUCUAAAGUUUAUUUUAAUUCUUUAUUUGUAAGCUUUCACUACUAUUGCAAAAUAUUUAUUCAAUCAUUCAUUUAUAUAUUGCUUACAAGGUCUUGCAACACCUCUGAAGAAACAUGAGAUGGAUGGGUUCAAAUAUGCCACAGUGACAAUUACUGUGAUUGUUUGUCAUCCAAUAAAGAUAUGUAUAAAGAAAUUUAGAUGGGAUAAAGGUGCUUUAAAUCCCACUUGAUAGCAACUUGUGCAUUGGGGAUACCUUAAUUGUGAGAUAUAUACAAAUAGAUUAUGAUAAGUAGACAAAGUUAAUCUUAUAUGUUAAUAUGAUUAUAUUUUAUGUAUUAGCUCAGUUACAUUACUUUGGAGGUCAUUAUCAAUUCGAGUUUUGAACUUACACAUGGCUGCUGGUUUAAGCUGGACACGACCAGCCCUUUGACCAAACGAAUUAGAGAAAGUUUAAACCAUAAUAAAGGUUAGAUUGAGCUAUAUCCUAGAAUAUAUUUGAAUAUUCAUGAUUUAAUCUUUAUAACGAUCAAUAUUGACAAGGGAAGGGCGAUUUAAAACAUAUACGCCAGAAAGGAGGUCAAGCCGAGCGGCUCGAUUAAAAAAUACCAACACUUGGCUCUUCCUUGAUCAGCCACGUGGACGUAAUUAGGGUUCUUGCGUGAUGUUCCCAUCUUUUUACCUUAUAAGGCCCUAGCGCAUCGCAUUUAUAACUCUUCAGGAUGGUCUUUAUGGUGGUAUUGAUCUUGGCCGUGGGAUUGCAGAUUCUCUCCGACUGGGAGAUAUAAAUGCUGGCCCUUGGUAAUUUGUUUUGAAUAGGAUCCCAUAGCUUGGGAGUGAGAGAGAGAGAGAGAGAGGAAAUCCAAAGCUAUGGUGGAACUAGGAUCCCUGCUGUGGUGUGUUGCUCUGCUGGGCUUGGUUGUAUACAAGGGAAUUUGCAUCCAUCUGAGGCGCCAGCGAGCAGAGUUUAUAGCAUCUCUAGAUCCCGUACGAGAUGCGCACAAGAUCGUGUGGUAUCUCUAUGCGGUGGAGUUCCCAUUUCUCUCCCAGAAAGCUCUCGAGUUUGGCACCAUCCAAACCCUGGGCAUUCCCUCCAUCACCAAGCUCCUGUACAAGACCAAGUAUGGGCUCAAGGAUCCCCAGAAGCGCGCCGCCGAGACCAACAUCUUGGUGAGCGAGUUCCUCCACCACCACGUCGAUAGCGACCGUGGAUCCUACGCGCUGAGGAGAUUGAAUGGCAUCCACGCCCAAUUCAAGAUCCCAAAUCACGAGUUUGUCUAUGUGCUCUGCUUGAACGUCGUCAAGCCCAUGGAUUUUUGCCGCGAGUAAGUGACUAAGUGGUAGUGGUUCUUUCGAUGUGUUCUUCCGGUGUUCUUGGAAUAGAUCUCACACAAUGUAUGUAUAUGUUGUUUGAUCAAUGCAGGUUUGGAUUCCGGGCGUGGACGCCCCGCGAGGAGCUCGCGUCCUACACGCUCUGGCACGACAUUGGGCUCCGGAUGGGACUGAAAGACAUCCCGGAGAACAUCCAGGCGAUGCGCGACUACAUCGACGAAUUCGAGGAGAAGUACGCCAAAUUCGACGAGAAGAACAAGUCCAUCGUCCAGGAGCUCAAGCACCUGGUGCUCGACUCCUUCCCGCGCCGCGUCCAGCCGGUGGUGGAGACGGGCAUCUGCGCGCUCAUCGGCGAGCGCAUCCGGAUCGCCACCGGGCUGCCAAAGCCACGCGCGAUCGUCGAGUGGGCGGUGCUGUCGGCGCUCAAGCUCCUGUCGGGCACGAUGGUGUCGAUCUUCAUGCCGCCCAGGACCGUCGCGGGGGCCAAGGGGAGCAUCGACGUGGACUGGAGCCCCAACCCGGAAGCUCGCCCGGAGGAGCUCCGCCCGCUCAACGUCAAUGUGUAUCGCCCGCCGAGCUUCGAGAAGGGGUACAAGCUCGCGGAGCUGGGAGCGCUCAAGCCGGGGAAGAUCGGGCCGCGCUAUGGCGAUGGAGCUCUGCUGUGCCCAUUGUUUCGCGCCUAGAAAUUUCACAUGGUUUCUUACAAUCAUAAACUAUGUGAUGAUUUUUCCAGCGAUUAAAAUUCGUGGAGGGGGGAGUCCCACAUGUAUCACGGUACCAUGGAUUUGUCUGUACUACAUCAGGAAAUCCUGCCACCCAUGUUCACGUAAAUAAAUUUGUAAGCUUUCCUCAUAUGUAUUUCUUGCUUGAAUCAGAGAUAAUUUAAGCCCGAUCUUCCGAGUGGAGGCUUUUUCGACGAUUUUUUUUUGUGUGGAUCUUAUGUGGAGGAUCUUCUCUAAGUCGUAUGAUUCUAAUGUGAUCGCCUUCAAUGGCCAGGAUUUAUUUUCAUAGCAAUGAUGUCAAGUAUAAGUAUUCCAUCAGCUUAUCUUGGAGCCACGAGCUCGAUGUUGUUCGUCGAGAGUACGUCGAGCUCGUCGAUCCUGGCGGACGACGACGAUCCAGCCACGGCAUCACCCUCGGACACAUCAAACCCGCCCGACUUGGCUUUGGUCCCCAGUGGCUGGCUGUGAUCGUCGUCGAACGAGUAAGCCCAGCUCGCCAUUGCCUUCCAUAUGUCUUCCAAGUUUCGGACCACCCCCCGGAUGGAAGGCCGCUCGUCUGGAUUGUCCGCGCAGCAUGUCAGCGCUAGCCUCACGAAUGGCUCCAUGGCUUCCGACGGAUAUGGUCCCAUGAGCGGAUCCACGAUUGACAAGGCUACUCCAGCUUCAUAAGCACCUCGAACCUGACGAAAAGAAAAGAAAUGCAAGCCGGCUCAAUGCAACAAGGAAACCAAAGAGAGAUCUUGGCUUACCUCUCUGACUAAGUUUUUCCCGUGCGAGAUUGCUUGCCUUCCCGUGACCAGCUCCAGCAUGACAACUCCAAAGCUGUAGAUGUCACUCUUGUCGCUCAGUUUCCGUGUCAGGAAGUAUUCAGGAUCCAGGUACCCCUGCAUGCAUGAAACAAAAAGGGAGCUGUCUUUCCUCCUUUCUCACGCGAAGAAGCACAACCUACCGGAGUUCCCUUCACUACGGUUGAGAGCUGGCCAAAAACGCCAUCGCCGUCCUCCUCCGGAGCAAGCUUUGACAAGCCAAAGUCGGCCACUUUCGCAUUGUCCCUGUCUCCGAUGAGAAUGUUUGUGCCUUUGAUGUCCCUGUGAAUUAUCCGGGGCUCAGCUUCAGUGUGCAAAUACAUGAUGCCCCUCGCAGCUCCCAGCGCUAUGUACACACGCCUUUUGAAGUUCAAUGGAGGUUUUUCUGAAAGAAGCAAGAAGAAGUUAAUCUCUGCAAACAAACACGUCAAACUUACCAACGAGGCGAGAAGAAAGAUUCCCUCCUCCGAUAUACUCAUACACAAGCAUCUGUAUACAGAGGAACUAAGUAUGAAAAACUACUAGAACGUGACAUACGAACCUGUUCUUGGCCAUCGAGACAGAAGCCGACGAGAGAGACGAGGUUUCGAUGGUGGAUGCGCGAUAAAAGCUCGAUUUCCGUGAAGAACUCGGUCUCCCCUUGAUGAGACUCCUCGUCCGCCCGUUUUAUAGCAACCACUUGCUUGUCGUCCAAAAUUCCCUUGUAAACUUUGCCGUAGCCACCUUUGCCAAUUUGUCGUGCUUCACUGAAUGAAUCCGUUGCCACUCCCAUCUCAUGAAAAGUAAAGGCCUUCACAUUGUCAAUCUUGACAGAUGUUGUGCCUCUGCUAACUGUGCCAAAUACAAAAGAGAGGGAGAAGCACCAUCAGUCGAACCUACUCGAGGAUUUAAAUCGUACUCACGCUUACGAAGGCUUUUCUUCGAUGGUGAUACCAGGAACCGACGCCUCGAAGCACACUUAAAGGCACUGAAUCCCACGACUAGUGCAGUGGCUAGGACAGCACCAACCAAAACUCCAGCGAGGACAGCCUUGGAAAAGUGUUUCUUUUUGCCUCCAGAGCUAGAUCCAAAAAUGUCUGAUCGGAAACAACCCAGGCUUUAGCAGGAGAACACUUUAAAAAAUGGUUCGUACCUAUGUUGCCAGGGGCAAUGAAUGCAAUCAGCUCGCGAGGGCCAAAAAUCGGACUGUCUCUGAUCUUCCACCCGGCGAACCUCUCAUAAACUCGUAGAACUUCCGAAGAGUUUAACUCCCUGUCUCUAGGUGCAUCGGUGGUCGCCGGAGGAAAUAUUUUCACGAGAAUGAAGAGCCUCGGGCCGGGUUCCCAUAGAGAUUGGUCGACGAACACCUGGCUCGGUAGCAAACUUAGAUUGCUUGCCAAGUAAUCCGAGAAAAGUUGACGGUACAAUGAGAAGAAAGUGAAGCCAGGACUCUUCAAGCGGCAUUGCACCUGAAUUGGAGCAGCACACCUGCACUUGCCGUCAUAAGCCAAGGCCGGAAUCAUCUCGCUUCCGGUACUACAAGUCUGCGAUGUGCAAACGUUCGUAACAUUGUCUCGAACCGUGUCAAUCUGCUGCAGAGCAGGAGGUUCUGGGGAACAGAGCGUUGGCAGGCUGUUUCGAGUACAAACUCGCGAGUUUCCGCUCAGGCUGAGAAAGAAGAAAAGCUAGCAUUUUAGAUAUAAGCGUUUUGUGCGGAGAUAUUGACCUGAUAGACAUAUUAGCAUCGACGUUGCCAUCAAAAUCCCCGUCAAACCCAGUAAGCAAGUUGUUCCUGAGAUCUCUGCGAAAGAACCGCGCAAGGAAGUGUGAGACGCAAAGAUAUCUUGUAAGCCCAAUACUUACAAGAUAAACUUUUGAGAAGUAACGUUACGAUUGACGAAGUCAAUAGGAAUUAAACCGCUCAGCUGAUUGUUUUGCAGCAGCCUAAAGACCGUCAAAAAGUUUAAGAAUUAAAAUGUAAGGGACUACUGUGGCUUACAAGGCUUGGAGCUUGGAACCGUGAGCUAGCGACGAAGGAAGCUGUCCGCCAAAAUUGUUGUUUGCCAGGUUUCUAACCAAGGAAAAAAAAAAAGCAAUCAAGGAUAAGCAAGGAGAUUAGAGAACGUACAUCGUUGUUACAUUCGGAGGUAGAACCGACUGUGAAAUAUUGCCCCCCAUGCUGUUACCACUCACGUCACUGCAGAAUAAACGAGAAAACAUGGUGAGCUCCUUACAGAGAUAAAACAGAAACUGACAGAUAUUCCAAACUUUCAAAUCCACGGAUGUCAGGAAGCAUUCCUCCAAGGUUGCAAUUUCUCAUACUCCUGCAAAAUGCGUGGCCGGGUAACUGAAGCAAUAAAAAUCACGAGACAUACAAUUUCAAAAGCUUUUUCAUCUGGACAUAUGAUGGAGGAACUGAUGCAUUGCCAAAGUUGUUGUUGUCAAGCUGACUGAGUCGAGAACAAGGCAUCAGCUCCGAUAAAACAUCGAGAAACUCACAUGAUUUGCAUGCUCGCGACGUUUGACAGUUCCGCAGGCAGCGGUCCGCUGAGAUUGUUAUUGUCUGCGAGACUGCAGAGAGAACAAUAUACAAGAUGAAUACACACACACACAAAAGAAAACAAGAAUUACAUGUGGAAGAGAGUUGGAAGCCGGCCUAGUUCAGGAGGAAUGAUACCGGUCAAAGAGUUAUUGUUCAUAUGCCUGGUAAAGAUGAUCUUUUCAGAACUUAGAAGCACAAGAGACUCCCUUACAGGUGCUUUAUGGAAACAAGAUUGCCAAACGUAGAGGGUAUACUCCCUGAGAUUUGGUUCUCGUCAAUCUGGAACCGGUUCAAUUUCAUCAGAUUGCCAAUUUCUUCAGGAAUUGUCCCGGUUAACUUGUUGCCAUUCAACAAUCUGUCCAGCAAACAUGUUCAAGAGAGAAGAGUAAUGAUUCAACCGCUAAGCUUACAGCAACUCGAGGUUUCCAGCAUUGCCAAGAUUGGCGGGUAUGGUUCCAGUUAUACCGUUCCACAUGAGGUUUCUGCUCGAGAAAACAACCAGAUUAUAAUUAAGAAACGUAACAGCAAGCAUACAAGAUUUGAAGGUUGGCCAUGUCGCCGACUUCCGGAGCUAUAGUUCCCGUUAGAUUACAGUUCAUCAAGUGACUGACGCAGAAGAAAAGAAAAAGAGAAAAAGUUAAAACUAUUAACAAGAAAGCAAAGCACUUUUUACAUUUCAAGCACCGAUCGACUCGUCCUGUUUGAGAGAUCCGAAUCGCUGCAUAUGAUGCCUUCCCAGUAGUCAUUGCAAGGGUCUCCAUUAUUCCAGGACUGCAGCCUUCCAGCGGUGUCUUUAAGACUCUUAUGUAACGCGUUUAACGCUCGGACUUGGACACAGAGAAGCGACAACAGUCAGCAAAUUACUAUAGCGUCAAUCGUAAUCUGCUUACCAUCUCCUGGAUCUGUAUUAGCUGCAGCGGCAGAGGGCAUUAAUGCCGCAAGAGCAAAGGGCAGCAGGAAAAUCUUGAAGAACGUUUCAGCUGCCAUGACGUCGAACUAGUUCUUGCCGUGCUUGAGCUUCAAUUGAGGAAGUAGGAGCAAAAUCUCAGCUGCCAAGACAUAAUUUUCUUUGAGAAGAGUAAACUGUGAAUUGCAAAUUUGAUGCUGAAGGCAUACCUGUAGGCGCGUCUUUGAGCUCUUCCAUACCGCCUGGCGCCCUUGCGGCCUAGUGCUUGACUUCACCAGUGAAUAUGCGGGAUAAGAUCCUGUUAGAAAUUGUCAGAACAGUCGGUUUCUUUUCUGGGACCUCCCGAGCCCAAAGAUUUUCUGUCAAAGAGGCUAAAGGCAGAAAGAAAGAACUGUAGCGAAAACAGUGUUUAGCCAGAAGAUUCUGGACAAAUCAGCCAUUUUGUCGCAUCUUACUUCAUGCAGUGCAAAGUACAAAACUUCCGUAUGAGAGAUUAUUCCAAUUUAUCACCUGAAAAGCCGUUGGAGCGUGAGCUGAAAGAAGCUAUCAACUUGAAAAGCUUACUAUCUAGGAAGAACCACUCCGAUGCACUGCGAGUCAUCGUUCUCCGCCAGCUUCUCCGACAGCACGAUACUGCUGUCCAAUCUCCUGAAAGAACUUCCUGGCUCGCUAUCAGCUAGGGAGUCAGGCCUGGUUGCAGCGAGACGAAGGGCCUCUAGAUCGCGUACGACGUCGGACAUUGAAGGACGAGCCUGUGGCUCGUCGCUCGAGCAGGCCAACGCUAGCCGCACGAACCGUUCUAGCAGCUCGGAAGCGAGUGGUCCCAUGCGGGAAUCUACCACGUUCAGAAUCAUUCCCGCCUCGAAUGCCAAUCUCACCUGCAUUAAACAAAGAAAAGUCAAUCUCCCAAACAGAAACACGGUCUUUCACCUCUCGGACAAUGUUUUUUCCAUGAGAGAUUGGUGGCAUUCCCGUUAGGAGCUCCAGCAGCACCACACCAAAGCUGUAAACGUCGCUCUUGUCUGUCAGCUUAUGGGUCAGAAAGUAUUCUGGAUCCAGGUACCCCUGCUCAAACCAUGGAAAUGGCUCGUAAAAGACAGCCUGAGUUUGAAAAUUAAUACUUACCGGUGUGCCUCUCACAACUGUUGAAACGUGUCCUGACAGUCCGUCAGCGUCUGAAACAGGUGCAAGCUUGGAAAGGCCAAAAUCAGCAACCUUCGGAUUGUUCUUCUCGUCCAAAAGAAUGUUGGUCGAUUUAAUAUCGCGAUGAAAAAUGGGAGGGUUAGCUUCCGUGUGAAGAUACAGUAUGCCUCUUGCCGCGCCCAAAGCUAUAACCAAGCGAGACCUGACAUUCAGCGGUCUUGUAAAUGUCGCUGUAAGAGCAGACAAUGUCAAAAAAGGAUAGAAGUCAAGCCAAUUGCAGAAAAACGUACGUGAUAGAUGAUCCCGUAAAGUUCCUCCACUCAUGAAUUCAUACACGAGCAUCUGUCGCAAUGAAGACCCAGUGAUCGAGCCGUCAGUUCUAGAUUUCCGGCCUACCUGUUCGUCGUCGUCCACAUAGUAGCCAAUAAGCGAAACCAGAUUUCGAUGAUGAAGUCUCGACAGCAACUGUAUUUCAUUGUGAAACUCAUUGGUUCCGUUUCGAGAGGCCUCCUCAGCACGCUUGAUAGCAACAACAGUCCCGUCGUCCAGAACUCCUCUGUAAACUUUUCCAUAGCCACCCUGACCAAUCUGGUUAGAUUCGUGAAAGGAUUCUGUGGCUCUAUCCAUCUCCUCCCAUGUGAAGCUUGUGACGCCUUCAACUUUGAAAGAUAGGUUCCUUCUCUUCUUCCACGCUGCAAGCAAUGGUACACAUCUCAGAGCUAAAACAUAGAAGAUGCAGAAGACUUACAGUUAUUUUGGUCGUCCUUGAGUUUCUGAACAAAACAGAUUAGAACGGUAGCAACGAAGCCUACAACUCCAACAAGAACACCAACAAAGACGGGAAUAGCACUGGCGAAAAAUUUCUUUCUCGAAGGUAAAAUUCCACUCGUAAAAAGUUCUGUAAGAAAACAAAACAAACAAACUAAGUGUUACAGCAAAGAAAGAAAGAAACAGAACACUUACCAAUCCCAUAAGGAGGAUCGAAGCUGAGGAGCUCUCUUGGCCCAAAUAAGGCAUUAUCAGGGAUUGACCACUCCGUGAAAGCAAGAAAGAUUCUUUUCACCUCUGGUUGAUUGAACCUUCGAUCAUCACCUAGCAUUGAAGGAAAUAUACUCAGCUUCACGAGGAGUCUCUGCCCGGCCCAGGAAUACGAGGUCACCGAAAGAUGCGACACUCCCAAUCCAGCAGCCAUGUACUUCUCGUAAGCUCGAAGAUGCGGUUCAAAGAAGCGGAAGCCCGGACUCUUCAAACGAACAAGGACCCGAAUCGGAGAAGCACACUUGCAAUUACCAUCGGCUGCCAAACCGGGGACAAGUUCGUCAAUGUCAGGAUUACAGAUGUCCUUCGCGCAGUUAUUGAUGUUGCUGCUAUCAGAUGGCCCGUGGUCAGGUACAUUAUCGAGGCUCUGAUGCUCGCAAAACUUGAAUGCGGCCUGCCAGACGCACACUUGCGCGUUUCCAAAGACCCUGCAACAAGUAUAAACUGUAGGUAAGUAGAUCCGCACGGCCAACAUGGCACAGUACCAAAGUUUGAUAUUGCUGGAGAAACUAAAACUCGGGAACGAUGAUACAGUCAGCGAGUUCCCUUGGAGAUCCCUGUCGUGAUUACAGUAGACGAUUAGACGAGUUGGAUAGCAAAAACUGAAGUACAUACAGCACAAGUAAUUUGUCGCUCGUUCUACCACGGAGGGUGAUUAAAAGCUGAUCCAGAGAACCAUUCAAGAGAUUGCUCUGUAAAGACCUGGAUUUUCCACGAAGUGUAAGCUACCAAGAGAACGCAGUGACUCACAUCAAUUCUAGAGUCUCGAUGCCCGCAGCUUCGACUGGAAUGUCGCCAGUAAACUGAUUAUUUGAGAGAUCUCUGUCAACCAAACUGUUAAAGGGCGGAUUUUCCAGUGCAUCUUACAUCGUUAUUAGCGAGGGCAAACUCAUGUUCGGAAAGACUCCGUCCAUUUGAUUUUUGCUCAAAUCCCUGCCGGAAAAAGGACGAAUCUGUAAAAAGAACUGCAUGCUUAAUUCUGCCACUCACAGAGACUGUAGCUUGGUGAGUGCAGAGAGAUCGGGCAUCGAUCCUCGCAAGUUGCAGUUUUUCAUGCUCCUGUAAGGUAAGACUUGAAUCGAGCACAACACCAUCGUUCAUCAACUUACAGCUUGAUAAGCUGUACAAGCGACGUCGUAUACGUGCUCGGAAUCUCCUGUGCAUCAAAAGGAUUGUUGUCCAACUGCCUGUAACAGAGGAGGAUCAGUUUAUGACUAUGCAUCGAGUCUGUAUACAGUAUCUGGAGUUGCGAUAUGUUGCCAAUGUCGGGUGGAAGCUUCCCAGUUAAAUUAUUGUUAUCUAAAAGUCUUCGCUACCAAAAUAUCAGUUCGACUUAAACAGGAAAAUCAGGACACGUACAUAUGGAUUGCGGGUAUCCUUCCCAAACCAGAUGGAAUACUGCCGUCAAAGGCAUUGUCGUUCAUGUGCCUGAAAAGUGGAAGGCUUAAAACAUUAUCCUGGCAGUGUCUGACGCUUACAGGUGCUUUGCAUUAACUAGCUUUGUCAAGGUUGAUGGAAUCGGCCCCGAAAAUUUGUUUUGAUCAACUUGAAGCCGAUCAAGGUUCACAAGGUUUCCAAUUUCAUCCGGAAGAUGACCAGUGAAAGAAUUCCCGUUAAGAAGCCUACGAAGAAAAGAAAUUUAUUCGAGGAACAGCGAAAACGAGGACAACUUACAAAAGCUCCAGCGACAACAGAUUCCCGAUAGAUGGAGGAAUGCUUCCACUCAGACUGUUCCACAUAAGGUCCCUAGCGAGAAAACACAAAAGCCAGUGAGUGAUGUCCAGCAGCACAAGAGGUUGCUUACAAUGCUUUGAGAGAGCUCAGGGAUCCAAUAUCAGGAGAAAGAACUCCCGAAAAGUUCGAGUUUAGCAAAUGGCUGUUCAAGGAAAAAUCAAACAAUCAAAGAAAGAACAAACGAUCAACGAGCUCUUACAUCUCCGUUACGUGAUUGACUCCCGCAGCAUCUGGAGCACAAAUAAUCCCCUCCCAGCCCUGUCCACAAGGAUCAUCGCCUUUCCAGCUCUCAAGCUUAGACAAUGGGUCUUGAACACCCCGUUGGAAGCCCCGGAGUGCUUCAGCUGGAACACAACAUGGGCAUAAGCUCAACAAAGAAAAGAAAGGAAAAGAAAAAACACGAAAACUUACUAUCCUUCGCAUUCGUGUCAGCUUCCCCGCGAUCCAGCAGAAGAAAAACUACACAAAUCAACCAGACACUCAUUCUCCUCCGAAGGAAGAAAUCCUAGCGCAAGAAAUCCAAAGCCUAGAAAUUCCUAGAGAAUGCAUCGGCCACGCAAGAAGGAAUGAGGACAAAAUACCAGCGCCUAGGAAAUAUGGAUCGCAUAGCUGGAUAAUGAAAUGCGAUGCAAAGAUUACCUCAGCUACAUCGCCGCAGCGGUCGCUGCCGAAGCACGCAAUCGGACAAGCCAAGCAUUGCUCGCUCUCCAUUUCUCGUCCUCUAGCCAGAAACCCUAAAAGGAAGAACAACAAUAAUCAUCAGGUAAAUAAAGUUACUUGAAGUAAAAACCAUUUUUACAACAGUAUAAAAGUCCUCUCUCACAGCACACUCUUCUCAGUGUAACCUCGUCAUCUCCUCUACACGCUUGCAAAGCUCUUCCACGGACACGCUCAUGGCCGCCGAGACUUCGUCCAUCUUGGCCCGGUUUAAAUCCAGGAACGACUCGAUGAGAUCGCCGUCGAGGAAGUUCUUGGCGUCGGCGUUCUUCCUCUCGCUGCUAAACGAUCGCCACUGCUCGUGGCUCAGCCCCCCGACGCCUUUGAUCACCUUGGCCAGGCAGUGCUGGAGCCGCUGGAGGAAGUUGAACUGUUCUUGCUGGAGCGAGGCCACCACUCCGAUCACUCCGUUGACGGUGCCGAAGAUCACAGUCGGGAUCUGGCUCGUCUCGUUGUCCGGCAAGCGCAUCACCAGCGAGCCAUGCCGGAACCGGUUGACAAACUCGCCAAGGUGGUACUCUCCCACCACUUCCAGCCGGCCUCUCUCCUCGUCCGUCGCAGCGUCGCUGUUCUUCCUCACCGUGAAGAGGUUGAAGCUGUUCUCGGCUCCGAGGUAGAUGUCGUCGUCCAGGAUCUCCACAGCAGUCAUCCAGUUUGCGUUGUAAUCCCGCGCGCGUUCUUCGAUCGCUCCUUCCUCCGGCUGUGAAGUAGUAAACAGUCCAUAAGCAAGAAAACACUCUGUACAAAGAGCAUACCUUGUAGAGAAGUAGCGAUAUGCUCUUCAUGAGAUCGCCCACGACGAUGAAAUCUCCGCGAGAUUGCACGUAGAGUGCUAGGAUGUGGCCGUGGUGACCGCACUCCGACUGAAGCUCCCGAGUGCUAUCCCGCUGUGUCCAUUUGUAGAGCUGGAUUUUCUGGUUGAUGCCCGCUAGGAGCUUCCCGUUGAAGGCGUUUAGAUUGUACACAGCUCCUUUCGUUUCCUUCUCAGUAACGAGUUGGAACUUGCCAUCUUCUACAGUGAAGAUCAAUAUACGUCCCUAGAGAAGCAAAGAAGAAGCUCAGCAGAGACCUUUAGGAAAAGCAUUUGCUUCGUACCUUGCUUGGUUCGUUUUCCUCGGGUAGAGCAUAGGCUGUUCCAACGCAGUAAUACGUAGCCGGGUCAUCAGUGAAGCUGCACGUAAUGAUCGUGCAGCCGUUCUCGAAUGUGUCCAGGUUAUACGAGCCUAAAACUUCGAAGGUCUGGUCGUCCAGCAACUUUACGAAAUGGCUUUCGUGAUCCUCCCCGUUUGGGUUGCUAUAAAACCUUGCGGUGCAAAGGCCAAACGUCCGAGUCUGCUCCUGGUGACAGAUCCUGCGAGGGUGUUCCCCAAGUGCCACCGUGCGUAUAUGUAGCUUCUGGAUAUCAUCAAUCGUUCCGAUUGUGAGCUCUCCCUCCUUUCCAAUUGCCAGGCUGAUUACGACAAACAAAAGCUUGUUAAUAGAGCUCACAAAAGAGAACUAGAAACAGACCUGUCGGGAAAAGAUGCAGAGUUGAAAGGACACAUGUGAUUCACCUCCUUCAGAUUCACGUUGCUGUAAAGCAGCUUCUUGUUGCUACUGUAAAUGACCGUAGGCCGAUCCGACGCCGCAAACACAUGAGUUGCAUUCUUAGAUCUGAAAGUCCGGAGCAUGAUCGGCUGUGUGCCCAAGGAAAUCUUUUUUCUGUCGGAAAGUUGACCGGUACUGGUGUCGAUCAGAAAAUUGAAAAGAUGGCCGUCUCCUAAAGCGCAAAGCAAAUAUGAGACCUGCCAGAGAGAGUUAGUGUCUGGUUUGCAAGAAAAGUCCUGUGAACUUACUCCUUCAAAUGCACAUAUUAAAACCGAGCGUGGUAUAAUUUCACCGCCGAGACUUUCUUUCGCCAAAACCUCAAGGUUGGGUAAAGAAAAAACUUGCACACUGAUAUCCGUCCACAUUCCCACCGCUGCUAUAUUGCUACGAUCGGGAUCGGUACCAAUCGGAUUUAUAUCCAGACACGAUAUCUCAUUCUGGAGUUGUACGUGCUUCACUUCCGUCAGAGACCCGCGACCGAUUUCAAUAUAAACAAGAUUUCCACCACCAGUCGCGAGAAGAACCUGUUAAACAAAGCUGGUUGUACAUACAUGGAUUAACUGCACAAUACCUGCGAAGCAUUGGCUGUGGCCACGUUUAUUGCAACUCCAGACGGAGUUCUCCACUCCGUCAAUUGCCGUCGAGAAGUGGCAUCAACCAGCCUCAAAGAAGUCGAAGUUACCUGCAUAAAAAAUCCCAGUAAAUUCCAUCCAGCGGUGUCUAGAAUCUCGUACCUGAAUAAUCUGGUCGUGAAUAGCGUUAUGGCAGAAGAGAGUUUGUGCUUCGGAAUCAAAACCUUCAAUCUCAGUUUCCUCGAGUUCAUCAUCCAUAUUCAUGGCCAGGAUUCUUGUCUCGCUGAUGAAACUGACCACCAGGAAUAUGUCAAAGACAUCCUUGGACGUGGCUCGUAAAGACCACAUGCCUUUAAUACCUUGAAGCUCAGCAGAGGCCUAUGAUAUCAGCAAGGUUAGAACAGGGAACCAUAGCGGAAAGCAUUACCUGCUCGUUGAUGCCGAUACCAUUUCUGACAAUACGCAAGGAUCCAUCCUUGUAUGCACCAGAGCACGUCACUACUUGCCCUUGACCUUGCCUCUCCAGGUCCACUACGCAGAGAUCGACAAUUGGCCCAAGAUUGACAAAACUCUCUAGAACCUCCACAUAAGAGUUUCUUGAGUCUACUUGCGCGUUCAGUUUUAUGAGCUGCAGCAUCACAACCACUUCAGAAUUUUUAAAACGAGAAAAAUCCUGUCGACUCACCUGUGAAUCCCCGUAGCUGGAGCCAACAUAAACAACCCCGUUGUCAAGGUAGGAAAGACUUGAUGCAGCGGAGGUCUCCCCGAGCAGUUCAACUUUCAAACCCAGUACCCUGUAUCAAGAAAUUUGAUACCAUAAGAAAAUCUAGCUCGUCUUCAAACCUGUCCCUCUCGUGAGUGAUCACAAGCAAAUGUAGCGAUCCAGUAUGAUCACUGAGCAAAUACCGUGAUCCAUCAGCAUCCACUUUCCCAUAUGCUUUCGUGAUUGACUGCAACAUACAAUAUCAGUUGCUGUAAACCUUGCUCGCUUUACAACUUACAGGCCGGAUGGGAAUAGCCUUGAAUGCUGAACCGCUGUAGUAAACGAUGGUUUGCUCACCAAUUAUUAUAACGCCACCAAGGGGUGUUGGCACGGGAAUAAGCAUACCGGCUCCAUUGUCGAGGUUAUUCUGCAACCAUGGCCCCUCACCAAAAUCCUUCUCUUUCAGUUGUAUCUCGUAUGUUUUGACGUGACGAGCAUCUUUGUUGUCCUGUCAAAUGAAGCAAACAUUCGCCAAGUUUUUUCCUAAAAGGAUAUUGAAGGAAACCGAACCUGGUAAAGGACAGCAAUUGUUGGUUUCGAGCAGCCAUACAGGAACUUUAUGUCCAGCACUUGCAGUUCUUCCAGCCUAAGAUUGACAAUCCUAAGCGUUGCACACAGGAAAAACAUUCUUACCUGAUGUUAAACGCCUCUUUCAGCUGUCCUUUGUUGUCGAUCGGUAUUACCUUUAUCCAGGCAACCACAAUCACGGUCAGCUAUCAGAAGUAGCGCUGAAACAAGUUUACUUUGAACAAGCCAUCGUAGAGGUGAAGACCAAUCAGCCUACACUCUGGAUCAACAAUGCCGAUCUGAAAGACAAAAAAAAAAAAAAAAAACACGAUGCGUCAUAUAGAACUCAGAGAGUUACACUGCAACCUGUCCAUUAUCCGUCGGCCGACCAAUUCGAUCUGAAACGUCACCCAUUGCCCUGUCCAAACAGGAAACAAAAAUGAGACUUGCUCUUGAAAAACUCAAGGUAACCUCGUGACAAGUUCCGUCGUCUCCGAAUCCCAUUGUAAGACACAAAACUUGUAUCUCUCCGUGGAGACGAACAGGACAUCCUGGGUCUCUCCCUGUGGUGCGAGAAAAUGAGAAAAGAUCCGAGACGAGAAAGAUUCAUACCGGAGGCCUGAAGAGCUCCAAGGUUGCAAUCCGGCCAUAGAUUGGCACGUCCAAAAGAGGCUGGAGGAGAACGAGAGACACUUAGAACUAAACGAAAAACAAAGAGCAGGCGUGAAAGAGUACCUGGAGACCUUGAGCUGUGAGCAAGUGAAAUUCAAUCCGUGUACAUUUUCUGGAGGAAAUGAUUGAGUGAGAGGAGAAGCGCAAGAGGAGCUAAACAGGGACUUACGCGAUGAUGAGAUUGAGCUCGUGGGGGCUCGUGAAAUUUCCAACGCACGAGUGCGUCACAUUGGUUGGCUUGUGCGCAGUGACGACGUAAUUCCAGACGCUCAUCGCUGCCCUUCCACGCCCAGGCGGAGCCUUUGAUGCCCUACCUAGCUCCCCAAAAACCCUAGACUCGAAGAUUAAAAAUAAAAGUUCAAUAAAAAAGCGUGAGUAAUUGAGAACUUUUAGGUUAUUUUAUGUAAAACUAAAAAAUUAAAGAUUAUUAGUUUUAUUUGAUAGAAAUUAAGAAUUUGUAAGUAUUUUAAUGAUAUAAAAGAGUUUAAAUAUUUAAAAAUCUAUUUCAUAAUUUAAAUAUAAAGAUGUGUGAUAAGGAGAUUUGUGAUUGCAAAAUUAAAUGAUUAAGUGUGUGAGGACCAUUUGCUUUAUAUAAGCUAAGGUUUUUAAGUUAAUUAUAUUUCUGUAUCUUAUGCACUCACAUUAAUGAAGUACAUCUCCAUUAUUAAAUAGCAAAACGCUUAUAAUUGUUACUUCUUCACCAAUACUUUCAACUAGGGUUUAUAUAAGUGAAUACAUGUUAAAAGAGGAAACAUUAUAGAAUUUUUUUUUUUAUAAUUCACCCCAUUAGAAAAUAACAACAAUGCAUAUGAAUAGAAGAAGAAGAUUUCAAAAAGGCCAUUAAAUGAUGGGCUAAAUAAAAAGGUUACAUUUAAAAAAUAUAACAUUUUAAAGUCAUUGUUAUCAGCUUAGAGAGAUGGAAUUCAAAAGAAAAAAUUUAAAAAUUUAAAAUUAUGCUUAUACUUGAAAAUGCAAUCCUUGAAAAACUCUUUAUAAUUUGCCAAAAAAUUAAGUAACUAAUGUGGAAAAUCAGUGUUAUAAAAGUAAUAGUUUUUUUUAGCUCCCACGAAGAACCAAACCCAUUCUCCCAUAGAAUACUUGAAAGAUUGUGAUAAAGUGGAUUUUUAAAACACCAUCUAAAACUCAUAUAUAAAAUUGUAAAAUCAUUAGGAAUUAACUGCAUAAAGUUUAUAAACAAGUCUGUCAUAGAUGCAACCUACCAAAACUUAAAGAGUAUAUACACCAUUACAAGAUACAUACUAGAGAGAAUAUAGAACUAUGAUGAAGUUGUAAUAUUUAUUAGUCAAAUUCAAGGUGUGAAGGUGUUAACUCUAUAAAGUUUUAAAUUGUUUUACAUAAUCACUCUAAAUAAUAUUGAGUAUCUCACUACACUGACAUAUUGCAAUGCAGGAGAUAAAUAAUUCUAAAUAUAUACAUCUUCCAAACAGAUUAAAGAAUGGCUAACUAGAUAAUAGGUUGUUAGUCAAGUGUAUUAACUAUUAGUGAAAAAGCAUGGAUCAAUAAUGUUUUAUAUCUUAGUUGUUUUGACUACUUUGUAAAAUUUAUAGACUGUACACUUACACAUUUUUAUAGUAGAUGGUCAUAAAAGCUAUUGCAACUUUGUGGCUUUGGUGAAAAUAGCAUCCCUAGGCAUUAACAUAACACUAAUCCCACCUAUACAUCACAAAAACUAUAUGUUUUUAGAUCAUUCAAAAUUAGUUUUUAAGAAUUUUGUUAUCGAUAAAGAUGGAUGAUGAAUAUAAUACUUACAAAAAAGGAUAUUGCUUAAUUGGUUUCAAAAGUGUCACUUAUUGCACUUAAAGAGUAACAUCAAAGCUAGGUUCAUACAUUAUCUAUUAAACAACAUAAGAAUGAAUAAUGAGUAUAGAGUGAAUGCAUUAUACACAACCACCUUGGAAGAAAUUUAAUGUAAGAAAUUAAAGAGAAUAACUCAAGAGACACUCUAUAAGGGUUUAAAUAUAGAAGAAAAAGGCUUAUGAACAAAAAUGCACCCUUUUUUUCAAUUAAUUAAUGAUUUUAAAAUAUUUAGAGUUAAAUGUCCUUAAGUUUGAAUACUACUAGGCUAGAUGACUUUUUGGGAAGCUUAAAUUUAUAAGCUUAUAUUCAAGUAGUAAAGGACUUAAUGAUGAUGACUGAAGACUAUAACAAUGAAAGAAAUAACAAAAAAACCAUAAAGGAAAUCAAGAUAACAAAGCAAAACUAGCAAAACUAGUAUUCAAAACUUGCAAUGUUUCAUCACCAAGACUUCUAAGCUUGCUUAUUAUAAUAGGCAUUGCAAUUAACUUAAAGAAAUUUUAUGUUAAGCUUACAAAAAAAAUUGAAAAGAAGGCACAUAUAGACGAAGAGAAAAAGUAAAGAAAGAACACUAAGAAACAACAACUCAAACAAAAGGCUCACAAACAAAACAAAGCUAAAAGAAAAAAAAAAAGGGAGAAAUACAUGUUGGAAUUUACAACUUAAUUAAGACACAUCUUUUAUAUACUUGGAAAGAAUGAGUAAAGAUCACCACCACCUCCAAAAAAUGAGUUAAGCAAACUUCAAUCUCAAGCUACAAGAAGCUGUAAGAUCUACAUGAGGAGGCUAGAGAGAGAAUCACAAUAUAGACAAUAAUGAAAUCUAUAUUCCUACUCAAACACAA
Molecule: long non-coding RNA, 28737 nt
Filed under: Selaginella moellendorffii
Lineage: Eukaryota; Viridiplantae; Streptophyta; Lycopodiopsida; Selaginellales; Selaginellaceae
Description: long non-coding RNA (SMOE_LNC001066)
Source: RNAcentral